GACGAACGCUGGCGGCGUGCCUAAUACAUGCAAGUCGAACGCAGUGGGGACGGGGGAGUAACACGUGGGUAACCUCCCAUCAGAGGGGAUAACACUUGAAAACAGGUGCUAAACCGAUACUGAUGGAUGGACCAGCGGUGCAUUAGCAAGGUGGUGAGGUAACGGCGCACCAAGGCCACGAUGCAUAGCCGAUCUGAGAGGGGGAUCGGCCACACUGGAACUGAGACACGGCCCAGACUCCUACGGGAGGCAGCAGUGGGGAAUAUUCGGCAAUGGACGAAAGUCUGACCUAGCAACGCCGCGUGAGUGAAGAAGGUUUUCGGAUCGUAAAGCUCUUUUGUUAGAGAAGCGUUACCUACCCAGAAAGCAACGGCUAACUACGUGCCAGCAGCCGCGGUAAUAC
Molecule: ribosomal RNA, 403 nt
Filed under: uncultured bacterium
Lineage: Bacteria
Description: partial 16S ribosomal RNA
Rfam family: Bacterial small subunit ribosomal RNA
Source: RNAcentral